Oncorhynchus tshawytscha (Chinook salmon) is the source of this 1980-nucleotide long non-coding RNA. Lineage: Eukaryota; Metazoa; Chordata; Actinopteri; Salmoniformes; Salmonidae. The record is from Ensembl.
GAUAAACCUACCUGUGAGUGAUUCCAGAUGAAACCAGGACAAAAAAAGAACCACAUUUGUGGGAUUUUCUGGAAAUUGUAUCCAAUGGUCCUUUUUGGAGGAAGGAUUAUUGACAUAUUUUACAUUUUUUACAUUUUGUAUCUAAAGCAUAAUAAAAAAAUAAAGUAUUUAUCAAAUGUGGCAUAUUUCUGACAUUUUGACCUUACCCAGUCCUCCUGGGAGACUCCAUAGUGUUCAAUCUGUAGGUGCUCCAAAGCAACAAUGGGUGUGUUUUGUAAUAUGAGUCGUAUCUACCCGGAUAAACCCCAUAUGGGAUGGGACACCAUGUAUAGUGUACGCUAGAGAUUCAACUCUGUGUCCUUGCCUACGUAGAGAAUAGACUCACCUGGUUAUGGAGCGAUCAGACUGUUUAGUUCCUGUUACCUGGUUCUGUGUGUCAAUGGAGAGGUUCCUGUCACCUGGAGCCCUGGAAAUGUUUCACAAUAAGAGUUCUGAUCUCACACACACACACUGAGCAGUAUGGAAUCAACAGAACCUUUUUGUUAAUCUAUAAACCACAUUUCUAAAACUACUAUUUUGAAACAGAACUUCCAAGAACUGGAGCAUAUAUGACGGGGACAUUUUAUUUUGAAAAAGCCUCAAAGACCUCUGAGAGAUGUAGUCAGUGAACUGCGCACUGUCUUCCCUUUACUAUACUUAGGUUUUUCUGUCUGGGCUGACACGGUCUCUACUACUGGUAACCAUGGAUAAGGUCACACCACUACAUAGUGCAGUAUUGUUGUAGUAAAUGCUAUUUUUAAAGUAGAACGUCAGUAUUCUCUCCUUCAGUCUACCUGUGUAUAUUCUAUGGUUAUAUAUCUGGAAGAAGUACGUUAUUUUAUCCUCCAUCUGUCCAUCCGUCCGUCUGUCUAUACCUGUACAAUGAUCUCACAGUAAAGCGUUGUUUUAUUUCACUACCUUUUUCUGACUUAACUGGCCAAUCAGAGUUGGUUGUGUUAUUUAUGGUGUUGCCCAAUAACUCCCCUUUUUUGACAAUCAGAUGUUACAGCAAUGCUCUGGAAUGUUCUAGAGUCCUUCUCAAAACCUCCUCUGGAACAUUCUAGAAUCCUUCUCAGAACCUCUGGAACGUUCUAGAAUCCUUCUCAGAACCUCUUCUGGAACGUUCUAGAAUCCUUCUCAGAACCUCUUCUGGAACGUUCUAGAAUCCUUCUCAGAACCUCUUCUGGAACGUUAUUUGUUGGGUGUUUUGAGUGGGAGGGACUGGCUACAAAAUAACAUGUCUGUGUAAUCUCAACGGAUGUCAUCUCAAUGGCACCCUAUUCCCUAUACAGUAACACUACUUUUGACCAGAGCCGUAUGCUCACUGAGUGUGUGAUGGGAAAGAGAAAUCGAGUAUUAUUAGUAUAUUAGUAUAGUAUUAUAACAACUAUUUUGAUAAAAACAUAAAUGUUUUAUUUUUGUACCGACACAGAGAGAGAGUCACCGUAUUACUGACCUGAAACAAACAGCUCGACGAUGACUCAAUACAAUAUAUUCUGGAUCGAGGUGACAAACGAUCUUUGUGUGUGUGUGUGUGUGUGUGUGUAGAUAAAUAGCCAAGCGUGAGUUGAACUAGGCACUUGUUCACUCCCCUCAGGAUUCUGAAAGUAUUGGUCUGAACUGGUUGGAAGUAGUUUCCAAUGAGAGGAGGGAAAAAAUAUCUGAUACGGUCCAGUGUUUGACAACAGCAGGAAGUCGAUUUCUAUAUUUAUUAUGCCUCAAGUGAACCGAGUCACCGGGAACCUCCCGCUGCCCUACAGAGGCUGUGUGUAGAAUGGCAACCGGUUCUGUUAAGAGCACACAUAUAGCUUUAGGGUGAAUGACAGAGAGAUCCCCCACCUCCCCUGAGGAACAACCAUAUUGAGGUUAUGUACAGAGAGAGAUCCCCCACCUCCCCUGAGGAACAACCAUAUUGAGGUUAUGUACAGAGAGAGAUCCCCC